UUAAAAAAGGAAAUAAAAAUAAUUACAAUAAUUAAUUUCAUUAUGUCUCAUAAAUUUACAAUUUCAAAUCAAAUUACAAAUUACAAAUAAAGCCAAAUUAUUAUUACAUUAAAAUUUAAACCAAAUCAGUUUGAACCAGCCUGCUUUGACUCUGUCUUGUUGUUGUCCUUAUUGCUGCAUUUCGUCUUUGAUGCAAUAUCAUGGUUGAGGCACUAACCUUUGCUUUGUAACUAAUUAGAGAAACAUAAAAGCAUAAUAUUUACUAGUCAGUCUUAGUAUACAUGGUAAAAACUAAAAGACAAAAUUUUGAGUUUAAAAAAAAUAAACUAAGGGACAAAUGAAAGCUCAGCAACAAAAGAGAUCAAAACAAAUAAGUCAAAACCAUGAAUGCAUCAGAGGUGUAGAAAAAAUGCAGAUGAUGAGCAAAGGAAAUGAAACAUCAAACAAGAAAUUGAUGGAGAAGGGCAAAGGCAACCAAGAAAGCAACUAAACAGAUAAAAAACUCUAUAAAUACACGUUAUCAAAUUUCAAAAUGGGGAAGAGAAAUCUGAGAUUAAUACUUAUAAAAAAAAACACAUAAAAAGAAAGAGAAGGCAUCACCGUCGUUCUAACUUCCACCGCACACCACCGUCUUUGUCUUCACUAGUAUCUGAAAAGGCAUGUAUCUUCUCAUUAUCUUCACAUUUACAGCUUUUCGAACUUUAUAUUAUUAGAUUGGAAGCUAAAAUAUGAACUAGAGUUGUUUUAUUUGAAAGAUGGAAUUUUGCUUUAUUUGUGUGGAUGUCUUGUUUUUGGUUGAGAGCAAUAGAAAAAGCUUAAAAUGGGGUUUGUUUUUCUAUUAUGAUGCUGAACUUCAGUUUUUUUUACGUGCCAUGUUUUCAAACCCAUGUUUUCAAAUCCGUUUGCUUUAUGCCAGCUUGUGUUGAACUGUUGCCAGGCUGUG
This 943-nucleotide long non-coding RNA is filed under the name Cicer arietinum (chickpea). RNAcentral's name for it is "long non-coding RNA (CARI_LNC002850)". The record is from RNAcentral. Lineage: Eukaryota; Viridiplantae; Streptophyta; Magnoliopsida; Fabales; Fabaceae.